Molecule: transfer RNA, 85 nt
Filed under: Saitoella complicata NRRL Y-17804
Lineage: Eukaryota; Fungi; Ascomycota; Saitoellomycetes; Saitoellales; Saitoellaceae
Rfam family: tRNA
About the family: Transfer RNA (tRNA) molecules are approximately 80 nucleotides in length. Their secondary structure includes four short double-helical elements and three loops (D, anti-codon, and T loops). Further hydrogen bonds mediate the characteristic L-shaped molecular structure. tRNAs have two regions of fundamental functional importance: the anti-codon, which is responsible for specific mRNA codon recognition, and the 3' end, to which the tRNAs corresponding amino acid is attached (by aminoacyl-tRNA synthetases). tRNAs cope with the degeneracy of the genetic code in two manners: having more than one tRNA (with a specific anti-codon) for a particular amino acid; and 'wobble' base-pairing, i.e. permitting non-standard base-pairing at the 3rd anti-codon position.
Source: Rfam by way of RNAcentral
GGAUGAAUGGCUGAGUGGUUUAAGGCAUAAUACUUGAAAUAUUACACACUUUCUGGUGUCAUGAGUUCAAAUCUCAUUUUAUCCG